GACGAACGCUGGCGGCGUGCUUAACACAUGCAAGUCGAACGGUGAAGCGCCUUCCUUUUUGGUGGGCGUGGAUGAGUGGCGAACGGGUGAGUAACACGUGAGUAACCUGCCCCCUUCUUCUGGAUAACCGCAUGAAAGUGUGGCCAAUACGGGAUAUUCUGGGUCUGUCGCAUGAUGGGUCUGGGAAAGAUAUUGUUUCGGUGGGGGAUGGGCUCGCGGCCUAUCAGCUUGUUGGUGGGGUGAUGGCCUACCAAGGCGGUGACGGGUAGCCGGCCUGAGAGGGUGGACGGUCACACUGGGACUGAGACACGGCCCAGACUCCUACGGGAGGCAGCAGUGGGGAAUAUUGCACAAUGGGCGCAAGCCUGAUGCAGCGACGCCGCGUGAGGGAUGGAGGCCUUCGGGUUGUGAACCUCUUUCGCCAGUGAAGCAGGCCUGCCUCGUUUGUGGGUGGGUUGACGGUAGCUGGAUAAGAAGCGCCGGCUAACUACGUG
RNAcentral lists this ribosomal RNA (494 nucleotides) under uncultured bacterium. RNAcentral describes it as "partial 16S ribosomal RNA". It matches the Rfam family "Bacterial small subunit ribosomal RNA", at positions 28 to 507 of the family's 1533-position model. The record is from RNAcentral.